RNAcentral lists this ribosomal RNA (394 nucleotides) under uncultured bacterium. RNAcentral's name for it is "bacterial SSU rRNA". It matches the Rfam family "Bacterial small subunit ribosomal RNA", at positions 29 to 424 of the family's 1533-position model. The record is from RNAcentral.
AUUGAACGCUGGCGGCAUGCCUUACACAUGCAAGUCGAACGGCAGCACGGGAGCAAUCCUGGUGGCGAGUGGCGAACGGGUGAGUAAUAUAUCGGAACGUGCCCGGUCGUGGGGGAUAACGUAGCGAAAGCUACGCUAAUACCGCAUACGAUCUACGGAUGAAAGCGGGGGAUCGCAAGACCUCGCGCGAUUGGAGCGGCCGAUAUCAGAUUAGGUAGUUGGUGAGGUAAAGGCUCACCAAGCCGACGAUCUGUAGCUGGUCUGAGAGGACGACCAGCCACACUGGGACUGAGACACGGCCCAGACUCCUAACGGGAGGCAGCAGUGGGGGAAUUUUGGACAAUGGGCGCAAGCCUGAUCCAGCAAUGCCGCGUGCAGGAUGAAGGCCUCGGUU